This is a long non-coding RNA of Chiroxiphia lanceolata (lance-tailed manakin), 123 nucleotides long. RefSeq lists it as uncharacterized. The transcript is spliced from 3 exons. Lineage: Eukaryota; Metazoa; Chordata; Aves; Passeriformes; Pipridae. The record is from RefSeq and is a predicted model, not a curated record.
GAAAAUUUUGUCUGUGAGAAUGGUGAGGCUCUGGAACACGUUGUCCAGACAAGUUGUGGACUCCCCAUCCCUGGAAGUGUUCAAGGCCAGGUUGGAUGGGGCUCUGAGCAACUUGGGAUAGUG